GGCGGGGUAGCUCAGUCGGUAGAGCAACGGUCUCAUAAUUCGUGUGUCGGCGGUUCGAGUCCGCCCCCCGCUACCA
RNAcentral lists this transfer RNA (76 nucleotides) under Planctomycetota bacterium. RNAcentral describes it as "tRNA-Met". It matches the Rfam family "tRNA". Rfam says of the family: Transfer RNA (tRNA) molecules are approximately 80 nucleotides in length. Their secondary structure includes four short double-helical elements and three loops (D, anti-codon, and T loops). The record is from RNAcentral. RNAcentral also lists the same sequence under 1 other name. Lineage: Bacteria; Pseudomonadati; Planctomycetota.